AUGGUAUGCGGGUUUACUCGUGUUCUUUCGGGUGCACUUCCUUACUUGCAAGUUAGCAUCAAUUUUGGUUAUCAUAAAAAAAUUGAGGGAAGGUGGCUUUUCUUCGGAAAAGUGUUAUAGACCUUGAGAAAUGUGAUGACCGGGAUUGAGGAUUGCAGCGGAUACCCUUUUGGGCUAGUCACCUGGCUUCUGAUGGUUACCCCGUCUUCGACAGCUUGCUGACGUUGAUGGGACUCGAUUGUCUAGAUGUUGGAGUGAUCG
RNAcentral lists this ribosomal RNA (261 nucleotides) under uncultured Glomeromycotina. Its description in RNAcentral is "partial 25S ribosomal RNA". The record is from RNAcentral. Lineage: Eukaryota; Fungi; Glomeromycota.